ACACCAGUGGUGAAACGGUUAUCAUGCUUGCCUUCCAUUCGUACUGUAGGAGUUCAAUGACAGCAAGCGGCGGGGGUUCGACUCCCUCCUGGUGUA
Pterulicium gracile is the source of this 96-nucleotide non-coding RNA. The record is from the annotation of a GenBank genome assembly. Lineage: Eukaryota; Fungi; Basidiomycota; Agaricomycetes; Agaricales; Pterulaceae.